Molecule: ribosomal RNA, 1963 nt
Filed under: Staphylococcus aureus
Lineage: Bacteria; Bacillati; Bacillota; Bacilli; Caryophanales; Staphylococcaceae
Description: partial 23S ribosomal RNA
Rfam family: Bacterial large subunit ribosomal RNA
Source: RNAcentral
GUGAAAUUCCGUCGGAAUCUGGGAGGACCAUCUCCUAAGGCUAAAUACUCUCUAGUGACCGAUAGUGAACCAGUACCGUGAGGGAAAGGUGAAAAGCACCCCGGAAGGGGAGUGAAAUAGAACCUGAAACCGUGUGCUUACAAGUAGUCAGAGCCCGUUAAUGGGUGAUGGCGUGCCUUUUGUAGAAUGAACCGGCGAGUUACGAUUUGAUGCAAGGUUAAGCAGUAAAUGUGGAGCCGUAGCGAAAGCGAGUCUGAAUAGGGCGUUUAGUAUUUGGUCGUAGACCCGAAACCAGGUGAUCUACCCUUGGUCAGGUUGAAGUUCAGGUAACACUGAAUGGAGGACCGAACCGACUUACGUUGAAAAGUGAGCGGAUGAACUGAGGGUAGCGGAGAAAUUCCAAUCGAACCUGGAGAUAGCUGGUUCUCUCCGAAAUAGCUUUAGGGCUAGCCUCAAGUGAUGAUUAUUGGAGGUAGAGCACUGUUUGGACGAGGGGCCCCUCUCGGGUUACCGAAUUCAGACAAACUCCGAAUGCCAAUUAAUUUAACUUGGGAGUCAGAACAUGGGUGAUAAGGUCCGUGUUCGAAAGGGAAACAGCCCAGACCACCAGCUAAGGUCCCAAAAUAUAUGUUAAGUGGAAAAGGAUGUGGCGUUGCCCAGACAACUAGGAUGUUGGCUUAGAAGCAGCCAUCAUUUAAAGAGUGCGUAAUAGCUCACUAGUCGAGUGACACUGCGCCGAAAAUGUACCGGGGCUAAACAUAUUACCGAAGCUGUGGAUUGUCCUUUGGACAAUGGUAGGAGAGCGUUCUAAGGGCGUUGAAGCAUGAUCGUAAGGACAUGUGGAGCGCUUAGAAGUGAGAAUGCCGGUGUGAGUAGCGAAAGACGGGUGAGAAUCCCGUCCACCGAUUGACUAAGGUUUCCAGAGGAAGGCUCGUCCGCUCUGGGUUAGUCGGGUCCUAAGCUGAGGCCGACAGGCGUAGGCGAUGGAUAACAGGUUGAUAUUCCUGUACCACCUAUAAUCGUUUUAAUCGAUGGGGGGACGCAGUAGGAUAGGCGAAGCGUGCGAUUGGAUUGCACGUCUAAGCAGUAAGGCUGAGUAUUAGGCAAAUCCGGUACUCGUUAAGGCUGAGCUGUGAUGGGGAGAAGACAUUGUGUCUUCGAGUCGUUGAUUUCACACUGCCGAGAAAAGCCUCUAGAUAGAAAAUAGGUGCCCGUACCGCAAACCGACACAGGUAGUCAAGAUGAGAAUUCUAAGGUGAGCGAGCGAACUCUCGUUAAGGAACUCGGCAAAAUGACCCCGUAACUUCGGGAGAAGGGGUGCUCUUUAGGGUUAACGCCCAGAAGAGCCGCAGUGAAUAGGCCCAAGCGACUGUUUAUCAAAAACACAGGUCUCUGCUAAACCGUAAGGUGAUGUAUAGGGGCUGACGCCUGCCCGGUGCUGGAAGGUUAAGAGGAGUGGUUAGCUUCUGCGAAGCUACGAAUCGAAGCCCCAGUAAACGGCGGCCGUAACUAUAACGGUCCUAAGGUAGCGAAAUUCCUUGUCGGGUAAGUUCCGACCCGCACGAAAGGCGUAACGAUUUGGGCACUGUCUCAACGAGAGACUCGGUGAAAUCAUAGUACCUGUGAAGAUGCAGGUUACCCGCGACAGGACGGAAAGACCCCGUGGAGCUUUACUGUAGCCUGAUAUUGAAAUUCGGCACAGCUUGUACAGGAUAGGUAGGAGCCUUUGAAACGUGAGCGCUAGCUUACGUGGAGGCGCUGGUGGGAUACUACCCUAGCUGUGUUGGCUUUCUAACCCGCACCACUUAUCGUGGUGGGAGACAGUGUCAGGCGGGCAGUUUGACUGGGGCGGUCGCCUCCUAAAAGGUAACGGAGGCGCUCAAAGGUUCCCUCAGAAUGGUUGGAAAUCAUUCAUAGAGUGUAAAGGCAUAAGGGAGCUUGACUGCGAGACCUACAAGUCGAG